Molecule: ribosomal RNA, 492 nt
Filed under: uncultured bacterium
Lineage: Bacteria
Description: partial 16S ribosomal RNA
Rfam family: Bacterial small subunit ribosomal RNA
Source: RNAcentral
AGUGAACGCUGGCGGUAGGCCUAACACAUGCAAGUCGAACGGCAGCACAGUAAGAGCUUGCUCUUACGGGUGGCGAGUGGUGGACGGGUGAGGAAUACAUCGGAAUCUACUUUUUCGUGGGGGAUAACGUAGGGAAACUUACGCUAAUACCGCAUACGACCUACGGGUGAAAGCAGGGGAUCUUCGGACCUUGCGCGAUUGAAUGAGCCGAUGUCGGAUUAGCUAGUUGGCGGGGUAAAGGCCCACCAAGGCGACGAUCCGUAGCUGGUCUGAGAGGAUGAUCAGCCACACUGGAACUGAGACACGGUCCAGACUCCUACGGGAGGCAGCAGUGUGGAAUAUUGGACAAUGGGCGCAAGCCUGAUCCAGCCAUACCGCGUGGGUGAAGAAGGCCUUCGGGUUGUAAAGCCCUUUUGUUGGGAAAGAAAAGCAGCAGGUUAAUACCCCGCUGUUCUGACGGUACCCAAAGAAUAAGCACCGGCUAACUUCGUG